CCAGGUGCCCCAACUUUUUUUUUUUCUACUUUCAACUUGGGACUAGAGAAAGCCAAAUGCACACCCCUAACUCAUCAGACCGGACUGCCCCCCACCCCCCCAGUUCUUGUGGGUCCACUUCCAGCUUCCCCAGACCAACAGCCUCUGAGCAGGACACAGGAAGCUUCUUUCCCCAUUUCCGCCCCGAUGAAGCCUCCACCUCCCCUGCCCGCUUCCGUGUCUGCUGAACGCAAGUGACAUUGACUGCAUCCCUCACCGCUGCAAGCUCUGAAUAAAUAGCCUCUGCCUGUUCUUGGCUAAUUGGUCCUGGUUUAUUUCCACACGUGUUUUAGCUCUUGGGAGAGGUUCGAGUUCAUUGGGUGUGCCUGUGACUUUUCUGGAACUCCUUCUGCCCAUCUCCCUCCUGUCCCUAAGUGAAACCGAGCAGAUGGAGGGCAGGUCUCAUACCCUCUCUGCCACAGGAAACUGACCUCCUCCAGGGGCAGAGUGGUCCUUAAGCCAUUCCUUCCUAAUCCCUAGCAGCUCCAGAAAAGCAUCAUUUUUAGCCAAAGCCGGGAGUUCCUUUCAGAUGAACCUUCAGACCUGACUGGUGUUUCAGGCUCAUUUGAAUCCUCAAUGGGCUAAGGAAGGGCAGGUGGGGCUUUCUCCAUUGGAAACACGCGUUCGGCCAUUCUUCCUGUUAUUUAGUUACUCAAGGUACAUUUAUCACAUGAUGAAUUCUGAAAUAAAGGUUUGAUUUCUUCUUUAUUUUCAAGGACGUUUUUUUGAGCACAUUAUUUUUGAUUCUGGUGAAACUAAAGUUCCCUGGCGUGGCGCCUGGGAGAUAGUGGUUCAAAGUGCAGUCGCAAGGAUCAGGCUCGUAAUUCAAUAGCUCACUGAGGGGGUGUUAUUUUUCACCCCAGCUUUUCACAAUUUUCAUCCAUUUUCUGAUGCUAAGUAUUUAUGCUGUUGUGUCUCUGCUUGUUUUAUUUUAAAAUUACUUGUGUAAUUACGAAGUACACAUACAAGGAGCGUAUGCUCAUUGCUUAAUGCUCAGCCCUUAAGUCCGAGUCCUGACAUCUGUCCAUCACCUGACAACCAUUGGAAAGGGCCUACAAAGUCGGAUUGAGUGGGAAGCUAAAGAUGCCUGAGUUCUAGGGCCCCUCAUUUUCUAUCUCCUUCCAAGCCCCCGGGAGGGGCCCUGCCCACGUGUUGACACGCUCACAAUGAUUUUGUAAAAUUUGCAAAAGGAGCAUAUUUUAGCCACGAUUGGUCAAGAUGCCUGUUGCUUUCUAUUCAACAUUCCCUACUGUCACAUUGCUUCCUCUUGUGUUGGGUUCGGUGAAAGGAGUUUCGAGGAAUUUUGAGACCUGCCUUGGAGGAGGUUGAGUUGGGGAUUUAACUGGUUUCAGUGUAAUGGGAUAAGUCUAUGUGUGCCGCUAAGUUCUUGCUCCCAAGGUUUAUGAUGGGCCAAGUGGCAAAGCUUGAGGUCAACUCUACUGCUAAUGAUAUUAACAUGAUAGAUACUCCGUGCCUUUCCCUUUCUUUGUGGCCAGUCAAGGCCUUGGAUUCUUUAACUUAGAUGCCACCCGUAUCUCCCAUACUUGCUGACAUGAGAUGGUAAUCCUACCUCCCUUUCUAGUUCCAACACACUUUCCUCAACUUAUCGCCCUGUCUUCUUUCUUACACAACCCUCUGUACGCAAACCGGACCCUAUGCCCAUUGCCACCCUAUGCCCAUGCUCGACCCUGCAAUGGCAGCACUCAACACUGUCCACACAGGUUCUCACUCAGGUCUUGCUCAUUGGACGCAAAAUAUUGACACAGUUAGAGAUAACACAGAGCCCAUACUAACUCACUCCUUGAGGACAUCAAUGACAGACUGGUUAAGGUUGGUCUUUUAAAGAGUAUCUAAAGUUAGUCCGUGUAUAAGAAAACUUGAAAAGCCCACACAUGCCAGAAAUCGGUAUUUUCAUAGAUUUGACAACCAUCCCAUAACACUACAUGACAUGACUAAAGAUAAGGUUCAAAGUUUAAAGAAACCUUUCUAAAUGAAAUUCAAUCAACAUCUAGAGGGAAAUUGAUAUUUUUCCAUUGUCUAUGUAGAAAGUGGCAUUACAAAGCACUCCUAUAUGAAGAGAUGAUCAAAGUACACAUAGAAAUACAGGGAAAAGCAUCAUAAAGGCUUGCUAGGGAGUUGAUUAAUAGAAAUAUUUUUGUAGAUAUUAGGAUGUGUGGCAUUUGUCAGGUUUUUAUUAUUUUGAUUUUUUGUGAUAUCUUUUCUCAUUCCACAUGUUUACCUGCAUAUCUAGUUUUUAAUUAAAUUUUAAUUUUGAGAUCCUUGUCAAUUCACCUGCAGUUGUAAAAAAAACAGCAAAGAGAGCCUCUGUUUCCUUUAUGUAUAGGCAGAAAUGAUGUAAAUACAUAGAUUCUGUAUUUCCUUGUUUCCCCCAAGGCAAUGUCUUACAAGAGCAUAGUGGAAUAUCAAAACCAGAAUGUUGACAAUGAUACAGUCCAUAUCUAAUUUUUAUUUGCAGUCUUGUGCCUUUUUUCUCAAGAGCUCCCCUUCCCCCAAGUCUAAUAAGCUGUAAGUUUCAGGUCCCCCAAACCAUGGAUCUCCACCCCCCCCACCCCCCACCCCCCCGUAUGUGCUGGCCACCAUUUUUGGUGCUGGUGAUGGAGCAUUGAACAGAGACAGAGUCCCUGGCUUCAGGGAGCUUACAUUCUGGGGAGGGAGCUGGAAAAUCAAACAUAGAGUCUGUUCGAUGGUGAUGAGUACUGCUCCCAAAAGAAAGCAGGGAGGGGAUCAGGAAUACGGUGACGGAUCGGAGUUGCCCGUUUGAGAAGGGUGGCUGGGAAGAAAGGAUUCACUGGGCAGAGACACGAAGAAAGUGAAGGAGCAAAGCCAAGAGGGCUUUGCAGGGAGACGGAAGGGCCAAGUCCCCGAGGGCGCGUACCUGCGGUGUUUGAGGAGUAGCGUGGAGGCUGAGCGAGCCAGGUGGGGAGCAGGGUGUCUGGAGCGGAGAUAGGUGUAGAUGUGGCAGGUGGAGCUGGGCCUCCAGCCUCGUGGGACGCAGGAGGAGCUCAUUUUGCUCUGAAAGAAUUGGGAAGGUAUCAAAAGAACACAUUAAAACAGGGACCAGCUUAAACGGGGUUUGCAUCCUUAAAAACAAGUUGUUGAUGAAGUAAACUGGGGGUUUUGUUUUUUUAACAGAGGCAGCACUGCGCAUGUGCAAGACAGGAACACUCGCCUCCAGGAUGAGCCUGGACCCAAGAAUCUUCAGUCUACAGAACUUAGAGAACAGCAGUGUUGCCACAGGAGCCCUUUACAAAGUGAGAGGUCCUUCUGGAAGGAGGACCUGGCUUCCAGCAGCACAAGGAGCUUACAUGAAUGAUGGGAGACUAGCCCAUCAACGUCCGAGUUUGAAAUUUCCCUAAUCCCUUAAAUUCACCUCUAGCCCUGGAUCUGGGAGACACAUUGCAGUCCUGUCUCCUGUCUCCUUGUCAGUCAUUCUUGCAACAAAGCUCUUUCAUUUCUCAAAAGCCAGACGACAGAGCUGGCUUCUACAUACAUCGGGCAGCCAGCCCUUGCUUGGUAUAUUGUAUUGUUAAGAGUUCUGAGCAGAUAGACAGUGAGAUAAGACUUAGAUUUAAAAGAACUGCUCUGGCUGAGAAUAGCUGGGGUAUAAGGCAAAGAAAGAAGCAGGAAGCAGGACCAGCUAGGUAGCUUGUGGGGCAGAUGUAAAAUGAAAGGCUUGGAGUUCGUGUCACGGCGCAGCGGAAAUGAAUCCAGCUGGGAACCAUGAGGUUGUGGGUUCGAUCCCUGGCCUCGCUCAGUGGGUUAAGGAUCCAGCAUCGCCGUGAGCUGUGGUGUAGGUUGCAGACAUGGCCCAGAUCUGGUGUUGCUGUGGCUAUGGUGUAGGCUGGCGGCUGUAGCUCUGAUUCGACCCCUAGCCUUGGAACCUCCAUAUGCCACGGGUGCAGCCCGGGAAAAAAAAAUAAAGCAAAAAAUAAAAAUAAAAUGAAAGGCUUAUUUGAAAAGCAGAGAAAAAGCUUUGCUUCCAUGGUCUCCCUCUUGGCCUCUCCCUGUGUUCGCUAUAUGCUGUUAUGUUCCAUCAGGUAGGGGGACACACUGGGGUGAAUGCAGACAAACACAGUUGCCUGGGGCCCUGCUGGGUGGCAGUGGUUCUUGGCGGCAGGGGCAGUGAUCGGAAGAGGGGUAGCCAAGAACUUGACCCAAACCAUGAGAGAGCGAGACACAUAGCCACCCCUGAGGCUCCAGACCCCAAGGGGCAUGCAGACUUGUCCCACUGGGCUUCACUUAGGAAGCACAAAUUCAAGAUAAACUUAUUAUGAAUUUCAAGGCUACCUUCACUGAAUGGUCAGUUCCAAGCAUGGGGACACCUUCAACAUGCAGCCCCAUGCAAGUGCCCUGCUCACACAUGUGUGAUGCCAGCCCUGGUAGGAAGAGCAGGCAAGAGGUAAUUGGGUGAGAGGAGGGUGAUAGCAAAGGAGGCAGGAGAAGGGGAGAGUCUGGAAUAUACGUGGAAGGUAAACUCCAUCAAUUUUCCUGUUGAAUGGAUGGGGGGAGUAAGAAAAAGAGUGACAUCUAACCUGCCUCCCAGGCUUGUGGCUUGAGCAUCUGGGUGAAAGAAAGUGGUAUGUGUAGAGAGGGGAUGAACCUGAGUUUGGUUUUGGACUCUUUGGGUUGGCGAUCUUUUAAGACAUCAGAGCAGACGGUUGGAAAUAUGAGGCUGGCAUUCGGGGUUGGGGGGCUGGAGAUGUAAGUUCUGAGUCACUUGUAUAAAGCUAUUUAAAGCCACCAGAUUGAUUCCCAUCACCUGGGAAGCGAGUGUAGCUAAAAAAGUCUGAGCUCCAAGACCCUGUACAGUUGUGGGAUUCCAGAAAAUGAUCUAAAUAGGGUGGAAUUAAAUACCGUUUAAUGAAUUGAUAUCACAAAGUCAAGUGUGCCUUGGUCACACAUUCCUCUGAAAUGGGCUGCUUACUGGAAGUUAGAGGCAGUAGAACUUUGACUUAGAGGUCCUUAUGAACUUGCAGGGGCCAUGUCCUAUGUCACAGGGAUAGGCCUGCUUUAGAGGGGCAUUCCUGAGCUUAGCAAUCAGAACUCAAGUUCACUCAGGCUGCUUUGCUGCUGCGACACCAGCAAGUGACCAGAAGCUGCCCAUCAGCCACUUUUUUUUUUUUUUUAAGAGCUGCACCUGCGGCAUAUGGAAGUUCCCAGACUAGGGGGUGAAUUGGAGAUGCAUCUGCUGGCCUACACCAUAGCCACGCCAGAUUCGAGCCACAUCUGUGACCGACAGCGGCAGCUUGUGUUAACAGCUGGAUCCUUAACCCACUAGGUGAGGCCAGGGAUGGAACCUGCAUCCUCAUGGAUACUAGUCAGGUUCUUAACCCACUGGGCCGCAACAGGAACUCCAGGCACAGUUUUUGAUAUUUUGGGCGGGGAGCAACAUCAGGGCACAGGUUCCGUGCAGAGGUUUUUGUGUUCCAUGCCUCGCCCUCUCAAGAGGAAGCAGCCAUGUAGCAGUGGUGGUUCUCUGGUGGCUGCAAGACUGAGCUCCUGAUGGCCCAGGGGAUGAUGUGAGGGCAGGAUGGGGGCAGCCUCAACCAUGGUGGUCCCCUAUGAGGCCAGUGGCUGGUGUGGCUUUGGCAGUUUCCAGGAUGCUUAACCUUUAGCCGAGUUCUCCAGCCCUCCCAACCCCACUGUGAACACUCAAUAUUUCUUUAAUAAGCUCUUUUAUUACAGGAUUACUUUUCUUGCUUUCAACUGGGAACAACAGCUGAGAUAAUGACCCUAAUAAUAUAAGUGAUUAAAUAUUUGUAGAGCACAUAGGGCUUGACAGAUAAGCCCUGUAUGAGCAUUUUGCCUUUUAAUUAAUAAAUCUCACUUUGGAUCUCAGACUCCAUCCUAAGAUGCUUAGAUCACACUUACAUCCUACAAGCAUCUCUGUCUCUAAGGAGAUGUUUUGGUUUAACGUGAGGUGCCGUAUUUGCAUCCCCAGAAAAACGCUUCUGUCUUACAAAAGAUGGAAACCAAAAUAGGAUCUGUGCCCAUGGCUAUAAAAUGAAAGCGUUCCAAUGGGAAGGUCUGCUCUUAAUAAGUAAUUUUAUUUUAUUUUUUGUCUUUUGUCUUUUUAGGCCCACACCUGCCGUAUGUGGAGGUUCCCAGGCUAGGGGUCGAAUCAGAGCUGUAGCCGCUGGUCUACACCACAGCCACAGCAACUCCCUAUCCAAGCCACGUCUGUGACCUACACCACAGCUCACAGCAACACCAGAUCCUUAACCCACUGAGCGAGGCCAGGGAUCGAACCUGCAUCCUCAUGGAUACUAGUCAGAUUGGUUUCCACUGCACCAUGACCGGAACUCCCAAGUAAUUUAAGAACUGCUUACGGUGUCCCAACUACACUGUCUUAAGAGCUGAUGGUUCUGUCAUUUGAAAAUAAUGAAGUGUUAGAUUUGGUACCAAUCGCAUUAAGUCAAAGACACAAAUCAGAGGAGUCUGUGGGCAGCCAUGAAAAAAAAAAGGCGGUAAUGAGGUUCUGAAGAAUCCAUCAUUUUCAGCCCGAAGCCUUGUGUAGACAAGAGGCUUCCAUGCGUGUUGAGUUGAAGAGGCAAACUGCAGCAGAGAGAGGGCUCUGCCGAUGAGGUUUGUGCCCUGCCUCUGGCAACGACCGUGUGACUUGGUGAAGACACUUCACUUUGGGAGAUGAUUAGGGGAGGUGACAUAUCGAGGCUUCUUAUGUGGGGAUGCUCGGCAAAGAGCUCUGAGAUGUUUGUUCCCUUUUCCUCUCUCCUCAGCUAUAAAACCAGGACGAUCUUCAUACUGCGUGCAUUUCAGGACUGCAGCACUGCUGUUAGAAUUUAAGCGAUAACGUAGGUGUAAGCAACUUUGCAAGCUAGAAGGUCUUUAUUAUUGAACAUGAUGAACUUCAUCUUUUUUCCUGACUUAUUUUGCUGCCUUUUGAAUUAAGAGAAUGUGGCAAGGAUUUAGAAUUUACUAGAAUGUUUGGUAGG
RNAcentral lists this long non-coding RNA (7013 nucleotides) under Sus scrofa (pig). RNAcentral's name for it is "lncRNA (ENSSSCG00000061886.1)". Lineage: Eukaryota; Metazoa; Chordata; Mammalia; Artiodactyla; Suidae. The record is from RNAcentral.